AAAACUUUCAACAACGGAUCUCUUGGCUCUGGCAUCAAUGAAGAACGCAGCGAAAUGCGAUAAGUAAUGUGAAUUGCAGAAUUCAGUGAAUCAUCGAAUCUUUGAACGCACAUUGCGCCCGCCAGUAUUCUGGCGGGCAUGCCUGUUCGAGCGUCAUUACAACCCUCAGGCCCCCGGGCCUGGCGUUGGGGAUCGGCGGAAGCCCCCUGCGGGCACAACGCCGUCCCCCAAAUACAGUGGCGGUCCCGCCGCAGCUUCCAUUGCGUAGUAGCUAACACCUCGCAACUGGAGAGCGGCGCGGCCACGCCGUAAAACACCCAACUUCUGAAUGUUGACCUCGAAUCAGGUAGGAAUACCCGCUGAACUUAAGCAUAUCAAUAAGCGGAGGAAAAGGAACCAACAGGGAUUGCCCCAGUAACGGCGAGUGAAGCGGCAACAGCUCAAAUUUGAAAUCUGGCUCUCGGGCCCGAGUUGUAAUUUGUAGAGGAUGCUUUUGGUGAGGUGCCUUCCGAGUUCCCUGGAACGGGACGCCAUAGAGGGUGAGAGCCCCGUCUGGUUGGACACCGAUCCUCUGUAAAGCUCCUUCGACGAGUCGAGUAGUUUGGGAAUGCUGCUCUAAAUGGGAGGUAUAUGUCUUCUAAAGCUAAAUACCGGCCAGAGACCGAUAGCGCACAAGUAGAGUGAUCGAAAGAUGAAAAGAACUUUGAAAAGAGAGUUAAAAAGUACGUGAAAUUGUUGAAAGGGAAGCGCUUGUGACCAGACUUGGGCUUGGUUGAUCAUCCGGGGUUCUCCCCGGUGCACUCUUCCGGCUCAGGCCAGCAUCAGUUCGCCCUGGGGGAUAAAGGCUUCGGGAAUGUGGCUCUCUCCGGGGAGUGUUAUAGCCCGCUGCGUAAUACCCUGUGGCGGACUGAGGUUCGCGCAUUCGCAAGGAUGCUGGCGUAAUGGUCAUCAGUGACCCGUCUUGAAACACGGACC
This 975-nucleotide ribosomal RNA is filed under the name uncultured Hypocreales. Its description in RNAcentral is "eukaryotic LSU rRNA". The stretch from base 333 to 975 matches the Rfam family "Eukaryotic large subunit ribosomal RNA", at positions 1 to 667 of the family's 3401-position model. The record is from RNAcentral. Lineage: Eukaryota; Fungi; Ascomycota; Sordariomycetes; Hypocreales.